AUUGAACGCUGGCGGCAGGCCUAACACAUGCAAGUCGAGCGGAUGAAGGGAGCUUGCUCCUGGCUGCAGCGGCGGACGGGCGAGUAAUGCCUAGGAAUCUGCCUGGCAGUGGGGGAUAACGUCCGGAAACGGGCGCUAAUACCGCAUCCGUCCUGAUGGUGAACGUGGGGGUUCAUCAGACCUCACCCUACCAGAUGAGCCUAGGUCGGAUUAGCUAGUUGGUGGGGUAAAGGCCUACCAAGGCGACGAUCCGUAGCUGGUCUGAGAGGAUGAUCAGCCACACUGGAACUGAGACACGGUCCAGACUCCUACGGGAGGCAGCAGUGGGGAAUAUUGGACAAUGGGCGAAAGCCUGACCCAGCCAUGCCGCGUGUGUGAAGAAGGUCUUCGGAUUGUAAAGCACUUUAAGUUGGGAGGAAGGGAAGUAAGUUAAUACCUUGCUGUUUUGACGUUACCAACAGAAUAAGCACCGGCUAACUUCGUG
RNAcentral lists this ribosomal RNA (484 nucleotides) under uncultured bacterium. RNAcentral describes it as "partial 16S ribosomal RNA". It matches the Rfam family "Bacterial small subunit ribosomal RNA", at positions 30 to 507 of the family's 1533-position model. The record is from RNAcentral.